Pelobates cultripes (western spadefoot toad) is the source of this 343-nucleotide non-coding RNA. The record is from the annotation of a GenBank genome assembly. Lineage: Eukaryota; Metazoa; Chordata; Amphibia; Anura; Pelobatidae.
UAUUACAAACUAUUUUAUAAGUGUUGUGCAAACUGUUCAUUAAAAGCCAGUGGUCUAGUGAGCUAUAGAACAUUUAUUUAUUAUUUAACCCCUUAAGGACACAUGACGUGUGACAUGUCAUGAUUCCAUUUUAUUCCAGAAGUUUGGUCCUUAAAGGGUUAAAGCUCUGACCUCAAUCGGCAAAACAAUAUUGCAAUGGUGUCCAUUGCAAUCUGCUAUCUAUACUUGCUGCUCUCAAAAAUUCUGAAUAUGUUCAGAGAUUUCUUGGGCAAUAAUAAAUCCCCAAAAAACAACAACUUUGCAUUUAUACUAAACCUGCCUGUUGUAAAUGGAUUCUGUAUAG